CCAGUCGCCGCCGCCAGCGGAGCGGCCCGGGCGGGACGCGGCGGGAGCGCGCGUGUGCGGGACGCAGCGCGGGGGAUGCGCGCGGGCCGCGGAGGCGCCGCAACCAACAGGCGGCCGAGGGUGCAGCCGCGGGAGCGCCACCGCCAGUGGGGUGGGGGGCAAAGCUAUAAAGAAGGCCCAGAGGAUUCCUGCGGAGCUGUAUUUACUUUACAUCCAUGUGAACUGCUGUCAUCACUACUGUGUCCAAGCCCAGAGGAUGAACUGGAAAAGAAGAGAGGGGGAAAAUAAUAAAAAGAGGAAAUUGGUUUUCACAACACACUCAAAGCCUGAGUAACAGAGGAGAACUUUAAUUAUCUCCAGUCACAAAGAGAGACAGGAAAUUUGGACUUUUAAUUAGCCAUUUGGAGUGCAGUUGGGUAUUUUUUUAGCUAGAUAAUUUAAACGCGAAUAAUUCAAGUCUGACUAAAUGAAAGUCACAUAAUCAGAAUGCAAAUAAUUGAAUUUCUACUGCAUUCAUUAAUUCAGUGUGGAGGUGUGUGUGAAGACUACUAUGAUGAGCUGUCACAGCUCAAUAAAAUCUCAGUCAAUUAAUUUUUUCAUUAUCUUAGUAUUAUAUCAACAAAAAAGUGAAGUGUGUAUAUAUAUCUAUACACGUGCAUAUGUGCAUACUAUGUAUUAUAUAAAUACAUAUACAUUAAAUCAAAAUGCAAGGAAAUACCUUUCUGAAUCAUAAAAAAAAAAAAA
This 744-nucleotide long non-coding RNA is filed under the name Homo sapiens (human). RNAcentral describes it as "SNX10 antisense RNA 1, transcript variant 2 (SNX10-AS1)". The record is from RNAcentral. Lineage: Eukaryota; Metazoa; Chordata; Mammalia; Primates; Hominidae.